Molecule: ribosomal RNA, 253 nt
Filed under: uncultured bacterium
Lineage: Bacteria
Description: partial 16S ribosomal RNA
Rfam family: Bacterial small subunit ribosomal RNA
Source: RNAcentral
UACAGAGGUCUCAAGCGUUGUUCGGAUUCAUUGGGCGUAAAGGGUGCGUAGGCGGCGCGGUAAGUCGGGUGUGAAAUCUCGGAGCUUAACUCCGAAACUGCAUUCGAUACUGCCGUGCUUGAGGACUGGAGAGGAGAUUGGAAUUUACGGUGUAGCGGUGAAAUGCGUAGAUAUCGUAAGGAAGACCAGUGGCGAAGGCGGGUCUCUGGACAGUUCCUGACGCUGAGGCACGAAAGCCAGGGGAGCAAACGGG